UCUUCCGCAAUGGACGAAAGUCUGCCGGAGCAACGCCGCGUGAGUGAUGAAGGUCUUCGGUUCGUAAAACUCUGUUGUUAGGGAAGAANNAGUACCGUUCGAAAAGGGCGGCACCUUGACGGUACCUAACCAGAAAGCCACGGCUAACUACGUGCCACCAGCCGCGGUAAUACGUAGGUGGCAAGCGUUGUCCGGAAUUAUUGGGCGUAAAGGGCGCGCAGGCGGUUUCUUAAGUCUGAUGUGAAAGCCCCCGGCUCAACCGGGGAGGGUCAUUGGAAACUGGGGAACUUGAGUGCAGAAGAGGAGAGUGGAAUUCCACGUGUAGCGGUGAAAUGCGUGGAGAUGUGGAGGAACACCAGUGGCGAAGGCGACUCUCUGGUCUGUAACUGACGCUGAGGCGCGAAAGCGUGGGGAGCGAACAG
RNAcentral lists this ribosomal RNA (422 nucleotides) under uncultured bacterium. RNAcentral's name for it is "bacterial SSU rRNA". It matches the Rfam family "Bacterial small subunit ribosomal RNA", at positions 362 to 775 of the family's 1533-position model. The record is from RNAcentral.